CUGUAAAGCACAUGAAGCUGUCAAAAUUUACAAUAAUUACAGUAAUAAGGUGAUUUUUCUUUCCUUAAUAAGGGGCCGUUUACACAACACAGUUUUCAACGUAAAACUUUUUGUGCGUUUAUUUACACGACAACGGCAUUUUGGGGGCCUGAAAAAACAAACUUUUGAAAACAGCUUUCAAAGUGCAAGUUUUUGAAAACAAUACUAUUAUUGUCUCCAUGUAAACUACAAAAACGUGAAUUUUUGAAAAUGGUAACGUCAUGCGCAUGUGUAUUACAUGUUCAGUCUAUAGGCGCCUAGUGUUUCUUUACAAUAUGACAUCGCCAACUACUGGUCUGGCAUGAAUACAGUGUUUUUAGUUGUUUUCGUGAAUCCGUGUGAGAUCAUUUUGACAGUGUUGUCGUUUGUAAAUGAAAAUGCAAAGGAAAAAUCUUGUCAUGUUUAAUAAGAGACGCUGAGCAUAGGUGCUCUGUAAAUAUGCAGGUGUUCAAUAAACGUGCAUGAAUGAGUGUGUGCACUAACUCCCAAUAAUCUAUGAUGUUGUAAUUGCCCUUUAAACCAUCAGCUGUUCAGGAGGGAACCCCCGUUUAGAGAUAGAUAUAAUCACACCACACCACUGCUUGAUGAAUCGAAUGGUGGAUAUGAACUAUGAGCUGUAUAUAAAAUAAAUAAUGAUUGCUGUGACUGCAGUAAAAGAAGAAGGCGUCAGGCUUGGAAUCUGUACCAUGUACUCAGAUAACAAACUCCAUAGGUUAUGUAAGAGAAAUACCAAUGAGGAAAGUCACGUGCUGCUCUUUUGGUUACUUGUUAUUUCCGUCAAAUGGAUUUGCAGUGUAUUUCAAAGGCUUAAUUCGUAAAAUUCAUACAUUUCUCCAUAUAAAGUGGAUACAUAUUUUACUACAUGUGGAGUAGAUGGAUGUCUGGAAAUUCACAUUGUCAAGUCUUCUUUUCACCAUGCUGAGCCCAGGGACAAAAAGGGCAACACAUGCUGCAAUUUCUCCUGGUUGUGUCCAACUCUCAUUGCUUGGAAACUUAAGUGUGUGGUAAACUGUGAUGGUCGAGAUGGACAAGUGGUGUCAUUUCCCAAUCCUUUCCAUUUCAUCAGUCAACCAACUGUUUCUGUUCAAUGCUUGGAGAAUCCAGAGGGUGAAGAUGGAAUAGUGGUGUCUGAUAAUAAAUCAUUUCCCAUUCAUUUCCAGUACAACAUUCAACCAAAGGUUUCUGUUCAAUGCCUGGAUAAUCCAGGGGGUGAAGAUGGAGUAACAGUGAUUGGCCAUGAAUCAUUUCCAAGGCUCUUGUCACAUCUCUCAAGUAGACAACCUUGAUAAAGAUGCUGAUGUUCAGUAAUUAUUCAUUUACAUAUACUUGUAAAAAGUGUAUAAAUGUAUAUGUAAUUGAAAAUGUAAAAAUGUAUAUUGUUUUAUAAUAUCAAUUAAAUGCAAUUACCCUGCCUC
Ctenopharyngodon idella (grass carp) is the source of this 1454-nucleotide long non-coding RNA. RefSeq lists it as uncharacterized. The record is from RefSeq and is a predicted model, not a curated record. The transcript is spliced from 6 exons. Lineage: Eukaryota; Metazoa; Chordata; Actinopteri; Cypriniformes; Xenocyprididae.